UCCCACGUACCAUGUCAAGGCAGCCGAUUGUCCCAUUCUGGGUACUCCUACUUCGGUCGCCUGUUACGGUCGUGGAACAUCAUCCGGCGCGCACUGCACCGCCGUGCGCUCUCGUCUUGAGGGCGCACGGAUCCCGGGGCACGCGCGCCGUCAGUCUCUAUAGAGUUGAGGGCGGCUGUAUUUUCUCUCCGUCGUUCUCGUAGUUUGGGGACAUACAUUC
This 220-nucleotide small nucleolar RNA is filed under the name Peniophora sp. CONT. Its description in RNAcentral is "Small nucleolar RNA snR191". It matches the Rfam family "Small nucleolar RNA snR191". Lineage: Eukaryota; Fungi; Basidiomycota; Agaricomycetes; Russulales; Peniophoraceae. The record is from Rfam by way of RNAcentral.